GACCUGGGGUCCCUGCUUCUCCAGGUGCUCCCGGAUUUUGCUCUCUAGCCUCCGGUUCUCGGUCUCCAGGCUCCUCACUCUGUCCAGAUGUGGGCCACCAGCCUUAAGCCAGAGGGAGCUUUGUAAGACAGGAACAUAUAAAAUGAUAAAAGCUUCUCUACGUACAGUUUUCCUGACUCUGAUUCUGCGUGGGACAACCAGUGAAAAUUGCAGGUGAAGAGAAGAAAUGCGUAUUUAUUCCUCCACUGGGAAAAAAAAUACCAUCCAAAGCUACAUGACUUGAGAGACAAGGUCUCACUAUGUUGCCCAGGCUGGCCUCGAACUCCCGGGCUUCAGCAGUCCUCCCGCCUCACCCUCCGAUGUAGCUAGGACUACAGGACCGCGACCCGGCGCUGCCUAAGAACUGUUUUUAAACGUGAAAGCCACGGCUAUCAUUUGCUUUUUGCUCUGCUCUUCAUCUUCUGGAUAAACCUCGUAACACACUGCUUGUUUUGGGUGGUAGUCUGCUGCCUACGCCCCGUCAGACAAGUGGCCUGAGUCCCCCGCAACCCCUGCAGGUCCGGCCGCCGGCGCCAAGCCUCAAGGCAUCCAAGCCAGGAACGAUCGCGGUCAGCUCUGCCACGGAACAUGUGCAAGACCCGGCAGCAGGUUCCGGGGGAGGCGAAUUGAUUUCACAACGGUCGAGAAGGAGGACCCCGCCCACUUCGUCAUUUCUCGGAAGCCCAGGGACUCGCCGGAAGAGCGGCUCAAAAGCCGGAAAACUGGCAAAUCCGAGUCUCCCGGCGCAUGCGCGGCGCAAUCGGCUUCGCGUGGUUGCAGUAGAGAGGAUCCCUCCGCCAGCCACUGCAUCCGGCGGCCGGAUCUAACUUACCCGCUAGCGUUUUACCCUUGCGCGGCCGUGGCGUAGGGCGGUCUUUUCCCUUGGUCCUCCGCGGCGCCGCCUCUUGUGACGUAAGCCGCAGAAUCCUCUGUCUUAGUUCGGCUCUAUUGCCGCGAGCUUGACUCUUCCUGGGUCUGAGGAAAAGUAAAAGUAAUUUUGUCAUUUCCUGAAACUUCAAGUUAAACCUUUAAGCUGUUCAUUUCCUAAAAGGGUGAAAACGCGGGCACCCCUCGAGCUAGUUCAUCGCCUUUUAACCUGUUGUUGGAUCUUUCCAGAUCACCACACCACAUCACCCAGCCACUCUGCCCAAUGGGAGGGCAGACAGUGUUCCAGUGUAGGAGGAAGGGGUGUAAGGUGCGGGCAGUUUGUGAGGAGGGCACCAACGAGAGCUACUGUGAGAAAGUCUGCAUGGUCAAAAAGUGGAUUACCAAGAACAAAGCAUCAUAAUGUUGUCCAGUGGACCCCAGGACCCUGUGCAUACCUUCAUCAAGGCACUUGCUGCGUAGCACUUAUAUUUCUGUUGUACGUAUAUGUCUCUUCCACUAAACUUUAAACUUCUUGAAGAGAAAAACUGUGUCUUUUAUCUUUGUAUCUCCAGGCCAAGCAUGGCAACUGUUGCUUAGCACCUGCUCAGUUAAUUGCUGCAGAAUAAAGGAGUUUUAAUCCCUUCCUAUCACUUCUGGAAACUUUACUCAAGCAAAGUCAUUUUUUUCCUCUUUCUUUCUGUAUUUUUAACUCCUUCAUCUUUCCCUUAAUUCUUACUCAUCUUAAAAAGAGCAAGAAAACACUUGCUCCAUCUUAGCCCCUUCAUCGUAGCCCCAUUUUGUUGAAAGAAUAGUCCAAUUAUUGCUUUAAAGUCCAAACCUCCCAUUGACACUUCAGCCUACUAAAAUUUGAUGUUUACUCCCUCACUCAAAUGGAAUUGUUCUUCCCAAUGACACCAAUUGCUUCCUGAUUGUGGAAGUCAGGCUUUAUCUUAAGUGAUUACUCUUCAGGAUUUCAAAUUGUUGCCCUGUUUUUCCUGAAAAAUCCUUAUUAAUUUGGCUUUUGUGACAUUGUUUCUCCUGGUCUACAUAAUCUCUCAACACUAAUCAGAUACACCAGCUGCCUUUACUUAAAUGCUGGUGUCUCAAGGAACCCUUAUUAAUUCUUUUGUCUUCUUAUUCUCUCUGGGUAAUUUCAUCUAAUUUUGCAUCUUUGGUGACUACCUAUAUAUCCAGUGAUCCUGAAUUUUGACCUCCAGAACUCUAUUUCCAAUGUGUAAUAAAUUCUGUGACUCACAAUACCCUCAAACUUUACUUGUUAAAAUGGAAUUGUUUCCUUUCGCAAACAUGGCCCCUUUUAUAUUUCCUAUCCUAGUAAGUUAGCAGGAGGGUCAAGGUGUUGACCAUUCAUAAUCUUUCUCCAGGUUUCUAUACUAGACUACAUAAUCAAUAAAUUUCAAGGAAAAAGUUAUCCCUUGUAU
This 2345-nucleotide long non-coding RNA is filed under the name Homo sapiens (human). RNAcentral describes it as "HSALNT0315642". The record is from RNAcentral. Lineage: Eukaryota; Metazoa; Chordata; Mammalia; Primates; Hominidae.